GCUGAUUCUGCUGGAGCUGCAGCACAGCUGUGUGUUUGAGGGUCCUCCAGGAAGUCUGUUCUUGACAGGCAACCUCACAGCUCUUGAGGAGAGGAAGUACUAUGAAGCUGGGGUUCUAAUUGGCUGGUCGCUGGCUCAGGGUGGGCCUGGACCCUGUUGCCUUCACCCUGCGCUGUAUCAGGUGAUGUGUCGCCAGAGUAUAACAUUAGAAGACUUCAACUGGCGGGACAUUAUUGAUACUGAAGUCCAAAUCCAACUGAAAGAGCUGCAUAGUUGUACUGAUGUGAAACUGCUGUCUCCCAGUCUGUGCGACUGGGUGUCACGCUGCGGGAUCCCUGACAUCUGUUCAGCUCGCUCUGAUGAAAUACCAGCCAUUUAUAGUCACCUGGUAAAACACUACAUCUACGACAGGUAGUGCACACACAAAUGCGUACAUCAUACACGUGGGGUUGACCGUUUUCAACUUAAAUAAAUACAAAAGUUUAAUAUAAUCCACUUGCUGUCCUUCAGGGUGACUAACAUGAUCUCCCAGUUUACUGAGGGGCUGAAUAGCUGUGGUAGGCUGUGGGACAUGGUUCAGUUCUACUGGAAAAUAUUUGCCCCAGUUAUGACGAAUGCACCGCGGCAGCAUCUGACUUUAGAAGAGUUCAAGCAGCUUUUUACCAUCAACUUUAGCUGUUCAGACUCCCAGCUGAGGGCAGAUGAGGAGGCCACAGCUGGACACUGGGAAACAAUCCUCACAUUAGUCAGCGACAGCAAGGCAGAGUUUUCCUUUGAAGACCUCCUCACCUUCAUCACUGGAGCUGACCGUUUGCCUCCUCUCAGCUUCCCCAGAUUAAUCUCUCUGUGUUUUUACUCCCAGGUUGGUGUUUAAUGUAUAAAUCCUUAAAAUACUCCCUCGGCUCGUGAUUCAGAUUCACAAGAAUCACCACCAUCAUCAGUUAUCCAGUCUUAGCAACUGACAGGAUGCUCUUUUCUCCUGUCAAGAGAUGAAUGUUUGUCACAUUUCCCUCACUGUAUUCAUUUUCUAGGAUGCCAGUAUGCCAGAUGUGCAUCUGCCUCAUGCCUCCACCUCUUCUCUGGAGCUGUACCUGCCAAGGGGAGUGGCUGGGGCUGUGGACCUGCUGGCAUUGUUGAACACAGCUGUGCACAAGGCGCUGAGAGGCGGAGAGGACAACUGAAGAGAAGUGAUGAUGAGAUCAUGAAGAGAAUUCCCUCUCACUGGAGAUUAAAGGUUUCUGUGUGAGGUUAACAACAUGACUAAAAUGAAACUGUGUGCAGUAGAAGUGCUGCUCUGUGCUCACUUUGUUGCACGUAACACAAUGGUGGAGAUUAGACCAAUGUGUGCAUUGUUUAAAGACAGAAUCUGAUGGUUUUAAAGCAUGUAGUGUAUAUAAUAGAACCUGUGCACUUUUUUUUUUUUUUUUUUUUUUUCUCAUUAGAAUGAUCACAUAUUUUAGUAGAACUGGAAGAAAUUAUGGUCUACAUACUAUAAGAAAACUUAAGGCUUUUUUUUGGCAAGUCAGAGUUGAUGGAUCCAUGUUCAGUUUACUUUGAGAUAGGGUGACCUUGGGUUAGUUUUGUUUUUCUUUUAAUCUUUUAUUAGUUAUUCAAAAUAGCAGUUAUUAAACUCUAUGCUCCAGUGCUAAAAUAAUUUCAGAUUGAAUUUUAAAUGCAUAAGUUCAAUAUACAUUUACACACUAAUAGAUGUUGUUCUUGAUAAUCUGUAUAUGCUGUGCUUUAGAAAUGCAUGUUGAAUAAAGUUUCAUUUAAAAAUAUUUCUAAUAGAACAAACAAUGCAAAGAAUGGCCAUUACAAAUGGAUAUAUUUCUUUAUUCAGAAUAAUCAGAAUCAGACAUAUUUCUGUGUGUAUGAGACUUCAGUAGUGGGAGUGGCAAGUUUGCCAAACAAAAUGCAAAUUAGCAAUCGGUCAUCACUGUGUAUCCACUAAGUCAGAACAUGCAUAAGGCCCUGGGCUUCUUGAUGGCUAAUAUGCAAGCAUGCAGGAUAUAAUGACCUUGCAUAAUACACACUUUUAAAGUUAAACAUGCAUACAAAAUAUCUUCAAAAUAUCUAUAAAUUUAGUUAUAUUUUAAAGUGCAGUACAUACCAGCAGAAAAACAACAAAACAAAUUCUGAAAAACAGUAGCAUUGAUUCUAAUACCACAAGAAAAGUUUUUCAUUGGCCCUUUGUUAGUAAUAUCUGAAAAAUAAUUGAUUUGCCUUAUUUAAGGUCCAACAUUUAUGAGUUUCUUUUCUUUCCUCGAUGUUACAGUUUCCAAUUUCCUUGUUUUCCAUGUGGAAAAGCAGAAUGAACAGGAAGCAUUGAAACUAUUUUAUAGUUUCCUUGUUAUCACUUUUUCUGCUUUUCUAGAUCUAAAUCAGGAGAAUUAUUGUUAUUAUUGAGCAGCUGCCUGGUUUGAGAUCUCGAUUGUACUGUGCAAGAUGAUGAACCAAAAGCACAUUUCCGAUUCAUGGGAACUACAGCAGUGUGUUACUGCGGUUUGAUUUAAUUUGACAAAAAUAAUCGUAAAAGGGGAUUGAUGUUUAAAUCUAAUCUGCUUUUACCCAGAAAUUUCCUGUACUUGCAGAGCAAUCCAAGCACAUCUGGUUGUAGACCACUCCAACACAGCUGUUUUCUUCUCACAACAGUGUACUCAUCAUUCAAGAUAUCAUGAACAACUGAGGGCAAACCGCCGCUCUGGAUCAUGUUGAAACAAAUCUACCAACACACUGUUAAACUCUUGUCUUCAUAUGUUCAUUAUUGACUUCUGUCCACAUUCAAUUUUUAUGGACCCACUUUUUGAAUCUUUGUCACAGAGAUACUGUGGGGUAUUCCAUUCAGGACCUGGGUGUUAAGAAACUAAAUAAAGAGAAAAAACAGAGAUUAAACAUCUGAAUUUUUAAGACAUGCUUUGUUUGUGUAAAAUUACUGAUAAGUCAAGAAUGUACAAAGCAAACUGUCAGAUAUAACCCUACCUGUUCAAGAAGCGCAAUAAUGGUUGCAUUGCUAACCUCUCCGUAUGUAGUCAACCUCAUCUUUAGAUGUGCCAGUGCUUGUGGGCCUGUAGGAAAUGAAAAAGUGAUUAUAAUAGUUUCAUUGGUAAGUUUCAAGGCAUAUGAAGUCAUAAGAAAUGUUUCAUUAUUGCUACAGUAAAAGUUUAGGCACAUUUCCCUUGAUGCUGAAACAAUUAAACAAUAACAUUUUAGUACCCUGCACAUUGCUUUGUAGUCAUAAGUCGCUAGGAAUUUUGUAUUUUACAAGACAUGUAUUUACGAUUUAAGUGUGAAUCAUAGUACUUAGCAUAAGCUCAUUCAGAUAAAUUUUAGUUAUAUAGUGCCAAAUCUCAAUAACAGUCAUCUUUAUAUUUUAAGGUAAAGAGCCUACAAUGAUAAAGAGGGAACCCCCCCCCCCCCCCAAAAUCAGACAACCCCUCUGAGCAAGCACUUGGCAACAGCGGGAAAGAAAAUCUCUCUUUUAAAAGGAAGAAACCUCAGCAGAAUCAGGCUUAGGGAAGAACAGCUGUCUUGGGUGGCUCUAGCUCAAGCGGUAGAACAGGCCAUCUACUAAUCGGAAAGUUGGUAGUUCGAUCAUGGCUGCUCCACUCUACAUGUCAAAUAUCCUUCAGACAGAUAUUAACCCCAAAGUUCUCUCCAAGGCAUCCAUUAGAGUGUGAAAGUUAGAGAGAACACCUAUGUAAGUACUUACACAC
This is a long non-coding RNA of Oreochromis niloticus (Nile tilapia), 3713 nucleotides long. The record is from Ensembl. NCBI's taxonomy places the organism in Eukaryota, Metazoa, Chordata, Actinopteri, Cichliformes, Cichlidae.